RNAcentral lists this transfer RNA (67 nucleotides) under Modiolus philippinarum. Its description in RNAcentral is "tRNA-Asp". The record is from RNAcentral. Lineage: Eukaryota; Metazoa; Mollusca; Bivalvia; Mytilida; Modiolidae.
UUGGACAUAGUUAAAUUAUAAUACUGGCUUGUCGUGCUUGAGUUAAGAGUGAGUCUCUUUGUCUUAU